AAAUAGCUUGGCGAAUAAGUGGUGGGCAAGACCGGUGCCAGCCGCCGCGGUAACACCGGCGCCACAAGUGGGGAUCAUAUUUAUUGGGUCUAAAGCAUCCGUAGCCGGUUCAGCAACUCUUUUGUGAAAUCGUUGUGCUUAACAUAACGACGUGCAAAGGAAACUACUGGACUUGGGACCGGGAGAGGUUAGAGGUAUUCUGAGGGAAGCGGUAAAAUGCGAUAAUCCUUAGAGGACCACCAAUGGCGUAGGCAUCUAACUAGAACGGGUCCGACGGUGAGGGAUGAAGGCUAGGGGAGCGAUCCGGAUUAGAUACAAUCUUAUUUGUUUUAUCUGGAGGAUUUUCAAGACGCUUAAAACUACUCUGAAAAUUCUCUUAGACAAAUUUGUAUCAAAAAAGAUUGCUAAAUACCCGAGAAUGAAAAGUGGCAAAAUCACUAAUAAAUUUUGUAAUGUUACUUUUCAUCGGGAAUAGUCCUAGCAGUAAACGCUGUGAGCUAUGUGUUACAUAUUCUUAGGGAAUAUGUAGUGCCGAAGCGAAGGCAUUAAGCUCACCACCUGGGAAGUACAGUCGCAAGACCGAAACUUAAAGGAAUGGGCGGGGGCGCACCACAAGGGGUGUAGUGUGCGGUUCAAUUGGAUUCUACGCCGGGAAUCUUACCAUGAGCGACGGCAGAAUGAAGGUCAGAUUAAAGGUUUUACCUAACGAGCCGAGAGAUAGUGCAUGGCCGCCGUCAGUUCGUGCUGUGAAGUGUCCUGCUAAGCCAGGCAACGAACAAGACCUAUACCUACAUUUGCCAACAUCUCAAUUUGAGGAGUGAGCACAAUGUAGGGACUGCCCGGGAAACUGGGAGGAAGGUGUAGGCAACGGUAGGUCCGUAUGCUUCGAAUCUCAUGGGCUACACGCGCGCGACAAUGGUCGGAACAAUGGGAUGCAACUCUGAAAAGAGAAGCCAACCCUCUAAAUCCGAUCUCAGUUCAGAUUGAGGGCUGCAACUCGCCCUCAUGACGCUGGAAUCCCUAGUAAUCGCUUUUCAACAUGAAGCGGUGAAUACGUCCCUGUGCCUUGCACACACCGCCCGUCAAGCCAACCGAGCAGGGUUUAGGUGAGUGUUAAUUUUUUGAUUAACUCGAACCUAAGUUCAGUAAGGUGGGCUAAGUCGUCACAAGGUAACUGUAGGGGAACCUGCAGUUG
RNAcentral lists this ribosomal RNA (1195 nucleotides) under groundwater metagenome. Its description in RNAcentral is "bacterial SSU rRNA". It matches the Rfam family "Archaeal small subunit ribosomal RNA", at positions 421 to 1467 of the family's 1478-position model. The record is from RNAcentral.